RNAcentral lists this ribosomal RNA (253 nucleotides) under uncultured bacterium. RNAcentral describes it as "partial 16S ribosomal RNA". It matches the Rfam family "Bacterial small subunit ribosomal RNA", at positions 524 to 776 of the family's 1533-position model. The record is from RNAcentral.
UACGUAGGGUGCGAGCGUUAAUCGGAAUUACUGGGCGUAAAGUGUGCGCAGGUGGCUGAGCAAGUCGAGUGUGAAAUCCCCGAGCUUAACUUGGGAAUUGCGCUCGAAACUACGUGGCUCGAGUGUGGCAGAGGAAGGUGGAAUUCCACGUGUAGCGGUGAAAUGCGUAGAGAUGUGGAGGAACACCGAUGGCGAAGGCAGCCUUCUGGGCCAACACUGACGCUCAUGCACGGAAGCGUGGGGAGCGAACAGG